This 1427-nucleotide ribosomal RNA is filed under the name Bacillus inaquosorum. RNAcentral describes it as "bacterial SSU rRNA". It matches the Rfam family "Bacterial small subunit ribosomal RNA". The record is from RNAcentral. Lineage: Bacteria; Bacillati; Bacillota; Bacilli; Caryophanales; Bacillaceae.
UACAUGCAAGUCGAGCGGACAGAUGGGAGCUUGCUCCCUGAUGUUAGCGGCGGACGGGUGAGUAACACGUGGGUAACCUGCCUGUAAGACUGGGAUAACUCCGGGAAACCGGGGCUAAUACCGGAUGCUUGUUUGAACCGCAUGGUUCAAACAUAAAAGGUGGCUUCGGCUACCACUUACAGAUGGACCCGCGGCGCAUUAGCUAGUUGGUGAGGUAAUGGCUCACCAAGGCAACGAUGCGUAGCCGACCUGAGAGGGUGAUCGGCCACACUGGGACUGAGACACGGCCCAGACUCCUACGGGAGGCAGCAGUAGGGAAUCUUCCGCAAUGGACGAAAGUCUGACGGAGCAACGCCGCGUGAGUGAUGAAGGUUUUCGGAUCGUAAAGCUCUGUUGUUAGGGAAGAACAAGUACCGUUCGAAUAGGGCGGUACCUUGACGGUACCUAACCAGAAAGCCACGGCUAACUACGUGCCAGCAGCCGCGGUAAUACGUAGGUGGCAAGCGUUGUCCGGAAUUAUUGGGCGUAAAGGGCUCGCAGGCGGUUUCUUAAGUCUGAUGUGAAAGCCCCCGGCUCAACCGGGGAGGGUCAUUGGAAACUGGGGAACUUGAGUGCAGAAGAGGAGAGUGGAAUUCCACGUGUAGCGGUGAAAUGCGUAGAGAUGUGGAGGAACACCAGUGGCGAAGGCGACUCUCUGGUCUGUAACUGACGCUGAGGAGCGAAAGCGUGGGGAGCGAACAGGAUUAGAUACCCUGGUAGUCCACGCCGUAAACGAUGAGUGCUAAGUGUUAGGGGGUUUCCGCCCCUUAGUGCUGCAGCUAACGCAUUAAGCACUCCGCCUGGGGAGUACGGUCGCAAGACUGAAACUCAAAGGAAUUGACGGGGGCCCGCACAAGCGGUGGAGCAUGUGGUUUAANUUCGAAGCAACGCGAAGAACCUUACCAGGUCUUGACAUCCUCUGACAAUCCUAGAGAUAGGACGUCCCCUUCGGGGGCAGAGUGACAGGUGGUGCAUGGUUGUCGUCAGCUCGUGUCGUGAGAUGUUGGGUUAAGUCCCGCAACGAGCGCAACCCUUGAUCUUAGUUGCCAGCAUUCAGUUGGGCACUCUAAGGUGACUGCCGGUGACAAACCGGAGGAAGGUGGGGAUGACGUCAAAUCAUCAUGCCCCUUAUGACCUGGGCUACACACGUGCUACAAUGGACAGAACAAAGGGCAGCGAAACCGCGAGGUUAAGCCAAUCCCACAAAUCUGUUCUCAGUUCGGAUCGCAGUCUGCAACUCGACUGCGUGAAGCUGGAAUCGCUAGUAAUCGCGGAUCAGCAUGCCGCGGUGAAUACGUUCCCGGGCCUUGUACACACCGCCCGUCACACCACGAGAGUUUGUAACACCCGAAGUCGGUGAGGUAACCUUUUAGGAGCCAGCCGCCGAA